Schistosoma mansoni is the source of this 44-nucleotide non-coding RNA. Lineage: Eukaryota; Metazoa; Platyhelminthes; Trematoda; Strigeidida; Schistosomatidae. The record is from Rfam.
AUCCAGCUGACGAGUCCCAAAUAGGACGAAACGCGCGUCGUGAU